GAUCCUGGCUCAGGACGAACGCUGGCGGCGUGCCUAACACAUGCAAGUCGAGCGGAGACAGUGAGUAGCUUGCUAUGAGCUGUUUUAGCGGCGGACGGGUGAGUAACGCGUGAGCAACCUUUCCCAGACAGGGGAAUAACACACCGAAAGGUGUACUAAUACCGCAUAAGACCACGGGAUCACAUGGUUCUGGGGUAAAAGAUUUAUCGGUUUAGGGGUGGGCUCGCGUCCGAUUAGGUAGUUGGUGAGGUAACGG
This 256-nucleotide ribosomal RNA is filed under the name uncultured bacterium. RNAcentral describes it as "partial 16S ribosomal RNA". It matches the Rfam family "Bacterial small subunit ribosomal RNA", at positions 15 to 263 of the family's 1533-position model. The record is from RNAcentral.